Triticum dicoccoides is the source of this 743-nucleotide long non-coding RNA. RefSeq lists it as uncharacterized. The transcript has 3 exons. NCBI's taxonomy places the organism in Eukaryota, Viridiplantae, Streptophyta, Magnoliopsida, Poales, Poaceae. The record is from RefSeq and is a predicted model, not a curated record.
CGCCGCCGCCCCUCCUCCCAUCUCUGGCCCCGCGACCCGCCGAACGCCGACCCAAGGACUGCGAGGGCGUCGGGGCAGCGCACAACCCAAACAUCCGGCAAUCGUGCUCGUCUCGCCCAUCCCAAUCGUCAUGAGCAUCCAUGGCGGCGCCUGAAUCCGGCAGCCACGGCCGCAAACAGCACACGCCGCCAGGCGGCACACUCCACGCCUCCACGGCUCCUCCCCUAUUGCGCCGGCGAGUAGCACCGACCGUAGCAUCACUACAUCAACAUACGGUACUCUGCAGGCAGCAGCACCGUUCCAAAAAUAAAGAACAAGCCUGGUGAUUGAAACAUUUUCGCACCCAUUCCUUUUGCUUACAAAAGAAAUAUCAUGGAGUUAAACUGUGUUAUAUCAAGGUAUCACCAUGGCGAGAUCCCCUUUGCUGCUAACCAGGAAGUUGAGAAUCAUGAAGUGAGAGCACUCUGAAGUUUGAUGUGCACUUGACGCUGGACUUCCCCUGUUGAGUUCGAAUUUGAUUCUGCUAAUUCUGAUGUAGUGCCAGCAUGUAGAAGCUACAACAUCUAUGCUGAUGUUCGUAAAUUUCCUUCUUGGUUUAUCUUCAAGUUCCUGCAAAUUGGUAUAGGGUGCAGUGCGCUGGCUCAUGGCCUUGCUGCCCAGGCGCAUCAGAUUAGUAUUAGUAAUCUAUGGAUGGGAAAUGUCCCUCCAUUGUUGAGUUGGCUUGUAAUGACACUAUAACUCUG